Molecule: ribosomal RNA, 740 nt
Filed under: uncultured bacterium
Lineage: Bacteria
Description: bacterial SSU rRNA
Rfam family: Bacterial small subunit ribosomal RNA
Source: RNAcentral
AGAGUUUGAUCCUGGCUCAGAACGAACGCUGGCGGCAGGCUUAACACAUGCAAGUCGAACGCACCGCAAGGUGAGUGGCAGACGGGUGAGUAACGCGUGGGAACGUGCCCUUCAGUUCGGGAUAACCCAGGGAAACUUGGGCUAAUACCGGAUACGUGCGAGAGCAGAAAGAUUGAUCGCUGAAGGAUCGGCCCGCGUCUGAUUAGCUAGUUGGUAGGGUAAUGGCCUACCAAGGCGACGAUCAGUAGCUGGUCUGAGAGGAUGAUCAGCCACAUUGGGACUGAGACACGGCCCAAACUCCUACGGGAGGCAGCAGUGGGGAAUAUUGGACAAUGGGCGCAAGCCUGAUCCAGCCAUGCCGCGUGAGUGAUGAAGGCCUUAGGGUUGUAAAGCUCUUUCGGCGGGGACGAUAAUGACGGUACCCGCAGAAGAAGCCCCGGCUAACUUCGUGCCAGCAGCCGCGGUAAUACGAAGGGGGCUAGCGUUGUUCGGAAUCACUGGGCGUAAAGGGCGCGUAGGCGGCCUGAUAAGUCGGGGGUGAAAGCCUGUGGCUCAACCACAGAAUUGCCUUCGAUACUGUCGGGCUUGAGACCGGAAGAGGUAAGUGGAACUGCGAGUGUAGAGGUGAAAUUCGUAGAUAUUCGCAAGAACACCAGUGGCGAAGGCGGCUUACUGGUCCGGUUCUGACGCUGAGGCGCGAAAGCGUGGGGAGCAAACAGGAUUAGAUACCCUAGUAGUCC